RNAcentral lists this small RNA (683 nucleotides) under Arabidopsis thaliana (thale cress). RNAcentral's name for it is "putative long intergenic non-coding RNA". The record is from RNAcentral. Lineage: Eukaryota; Viridiplantae; Streptophyta; Magnoliopsida; Brassicales; Brassicaceae.
AUAGUAGAGAAGAUAUGAGAAGUUUGAUGUUCCAAUGGCCUACACUUAGAGCAACAAUGAUUGAUGUUGCAAUAGCUUGGUCUGCAAGUUUUUACCGCUACCAUUUGUUCUUGACUUCUUUCAUGGGUUUUGGUUAGUAUAUGCAGGGAUUUGUUCUUUGGUUGGUUUACAAGAGGGAACUUUACUAUGAAAAAGGGAAGAAGCUUGGGAAAAAAAAGAACAAGAGAAGAUCAUGAUCAGCUAAAAUUGAGUAAUAUUGAUUUUUUUUAAUGAAUUAUGUUACUAUUUUGCAUCGUCUCUCCAUUUGAAUCUUUUUCAGGAUUGUGAAGUAGAGCAUGAACACGAGUAUUGGAAAUAUGUAGAGGAAGGAUAAACCUGAGAGAGACACUACUUUGCCAACCGAGAUAUGCCAGAAACUUGAAGACGAUUUGAGCUAGUGAUAUCAAUUAGAGGACCAGAUGGUCCAGAUUCAUCCAAUCAUUGAUAAAGAGCCCGUACCAACCUGAUAAACGAAGAUACAUCAAAACACGAAGAGUACCUGAUCAGCCUCUUCCACAUCUAGUUUAAACUGCAUACAUGCAUACAUGCAUACAUGCAUACAUUCAUAUAUGCAUACACAUGCAUAUAUCAUACAUUCAUGCAUAUAUUUGCUUUCUUGAUUUUUUUAUUAGAUCAUUGCUUGC